UACGGAGGGUGCAAGCGUUAUCCGGAUUCACUGGGUUUAAAGGGUGCGUAGGUGGGCAAGUAAGUCAGUGGUGAAAUCUCCGGGCUUAACCCGGAAACUGCCAUUGAUACUAUUUGUCUUGAAUACUGUGGAGGUCAGCGGAAUAUGUCAUGUAGCGGUGAAAUGCUUAGAUAUGACAUAGAACACCAAUUGCGAAGGCAGCUGGCUACACAAAUAUUGACACUGAGGAACGAAAGCGUGGGGAUCAAACAGG
RNAcentral lists this ribosomal RNA (253 nucleotides) under uncultured bacterium. Its description in RNAcentral is "partial 16S ribosomal RNA". It matches the Rfam family "Bacterial small subunit ribosomal RNA", at positions 524 to 776 of the family's 1533-position model. The record is from RNAcentral.